Long non-coding RNA from Gorilla gorilla gorilla (western lowland gorilla), 819 nucleotides. RefSeq lists it as uncharacterized. The record is from RefSeq and is a predicted model, not a curated record. The transcript is spliced from 6 exons. Lineage: Eukaryota; Metazoa; Chordata; Mammalia; Primates; Hominidae.
AUUCUGGAAGCCCAGCACCUAGGUGAUGUGACUUUCAUCUUUUGUUUGGACCCUGUGCACAAAAGGAAGAGUGGCUUAUCACUGGACCUCACACACAGGAGAGAUUGUGACAUAUCUCUGGAACCAGAACCUUGGUGAUGUGACUCUUCUCUCCUGCUGAAGCCAUGCCCACACAAGGGAAAGUGACUUAUCCCUGGACCCAGCACACAGGUGGGUGGUGACUCUAAGACCAGGAUUCAACACACCUAGAAGGCUUUGACUCUGAUACCAGUCACAGAAGGCUCUGCGACUCUUCUGUUUUCUCUAGGUCAUGCAAAUGGAGGUGGAUUGUGACAUAUCAUACGGCCAACACAACACACAGUCUACAGGUGGAAUUGGGACUCUCAUGCAUGGAUCCAGUUCAUCAUUGAUACUGUGACUCAUGUACUUGGAUGCAACUCACAGGAGGUCACGCAAAUGGAGGAGGAUUGUGACAUAUCAUAGGGCCAACACAAAAAUAAUGUAAAACUCCUGCCUGAGCCAUGCCCAUAGAAGGCAUUGUGACGUAUCACCAGUCACAUCACUCAGGUGGGAUUUUGACAUAUAACUGCACCCAGCACACAGAUGCAGUGGCUCAUGCCUGUAAUCCCAGCACUUUCAGAGGCUGAGGUGGGCAGAUCAGGAGGUUAGGAGUGCGAGACCAGCCUGGCCAACGUGGUGAAAUGCCAUCUCUACUAAAAUUUAAAAAAUUAGCUGGGCAUGGUGGCAGGCACCUGUAAUCUCAGCUACAUGGGAGGUUGAGGCAGGAGAAUUGCUUGAAACUGGAAGGCAGGGGUUGCA